This 250-nucleotide ribosomal RNA is filed under the name uncultured prokaryote. RNAcentral's name for it is "partial 16S ribosomal RNA". It matches the Rfam family "Bacterial small subunit ribosomal RNA", at positions 524 to 773 of the family's 1533-position model. The record is from RNAcentral.
UACGUAGGGAGUAAGCGUUAUCCGGAAUUAUUGGGUGUAAAGGGUGCGUAGACGGGAAUGCAAGUUAGUUGUGAAAUCCCUCGGCUCAACUGAGGAACUGCCACUAAAACUAUAUUUCUUGAGUGCAGGAGAGGAAAGUGGAAUUCCUAGUGUAGCGGUGAAAUGCGUAGAUAUUAGGAGGAACACCAGUGGCGAAGGCGACUUUCUGGACUGCAACUGACGUUGAGGCACGAAAGUGUGGGGAGCAAAC